Molecule: ribosomal RNA, 406 nt
Filed under: bacterium
Lineage: Bacteria
Description: bacterial SSU rRNA
Rfam family: Bacterial small subunit ribosomal RNA
Source: RNAcentral
GGGUCCUCUGAACCUAGAGAAGGGCUUCUCCUUCGGGAGCAGAGUGACAGGUGGUGCAUGGUUGUCGUCAGCUCGUGUCGUGAGAUGUUGGGUUAAGUCCCGCAACGAGCGCAACCCUUGAUCUUAGUUGCCAUCAUUAAGUUGGGCACUCUAAGGUGACUGCCGGUGACAAACCGGAGGAAGGUGGGGAUGACGUCAAAUCAUCAUGCCCCUUAUGACCUGGGCUACACACGUGCUACAAUGGACGGUACAAAGAGCUGCAAGACCGCGAGGUGGAGCUAAUCUCAUAAAACCGUUCUCAGUUCGGAUUGUAGGCUGCAACUCGCCUACAUGAAGCUGGAAUCGCUAGUAAUCGCGGAUCAGCAUGCCGCGGUGAAUACGUUCCCGGGUCUUGUACACACGCAAA